CCCUUAGAUGUUCUGGGCCGCACGCGCGCUACACUGACGAUGGCAACGAGUUUUUCCUUCGCCGAAAGGUGUGGGUAAUCUUUUGAAACAUCGUCGUGCUGGGGAUAGAUCAUUGCAAUUUUUGAUCUUGAACGAGGAAUUCCUAGUAAGCGCGAGUCAUCAGCUCGCGUUGAUUACGUCCCUGCCCUUUGUACACACCGCCCGUCGCUACUACCGAUUGAAUGGUUUAGUGAGGACUCCUGAUUGGCGCCGCCGCCCCGGCAACGGAGCAGCGGACUGCCGAAAAGUUGUUCAAACUUGAUCAUUUAGAGGAAGUAAAAGUUGUAACA
RNAcentral lists this ribosomal RNA (329 nucleotides) under uncultured eukaryote. RNAcentral's name for it is "partial 18S ribosomal RNA". It matches the Rfam family "Eukaryotic small subunit ribosomal RNA", at positions 1470 to 1796 of the family's 1831-position model. The record is from RNAcentral.